GGAUUGUGGCUUAGUGGUAAAGCACUUGCCUAGCACAUGUGAGGCCCUGGGUUCAAUCCUCAGCACCA
Molecule: transfer RNA, 68 nt
Filed under: Marmota monax (woodchuck)
Lineage: Eukaryota; Metazoa; Chordata; Mammalia; Rodentia; Sciuridae
Description: tRNA.Ala
Source: RNAcentral